AGAGUUUGAUCAUGGCUCAGAUUGAACGCUGGCGGCAGGCCUAACACAUGCAAGUCGAGCGGUAGCACAGAGAGCUUGCUCUCGGGUGACGAGCGGCGGACGGGUGAGUAAUGUCUGGGAAACUGCCUGAUGGAGGGGGAUAACUACUGGAAACGGUAGCUAAUACCGCAUAAUGUCGCAAGACCAAAGUGGGGGACCUUCGGGCCUCAUGCCAUCAGAUGUGCCCAGAUGGGAUUAGCUAGUAGGUGGGGUAACGGCUCACCUAGGCGACGAUCCCUAGCUGGUCUGAGAGGAUGACCAGCCACACUGGAACUGAGACACGGUCCAGACUCCUACGGGAGGCAGCAGUGGGGAAUAUUGCACAAUGGGCGCAAGCCUGAUGCAGCCAUGCCGCGUGUGUGAAGAAGGCCUUCGGGUUGUAAAGCACUUUCAGCGGGGAGGAAGGCGUUAAGGUUAAUAACCUUGGCGAUUGACGUUACCCGCAGAAGAAGCACCGGCUAACUCCGUGCCAGCAGCCGCGGUAAUACGGAGGGUGCAAGCGUUAAUCGGAAUUACUGGGCGUAAAGCGCACGCAGGCGGUCUGUCAAGUCGGAUGUGAAAUCCCCGGGCUCAACCUGGGAACUGCAUUCGAAACUGGCAGGCUAGAGUCUUGUAGAGGGGGGUAGAAUUCCAGGUGUAGCGGUGAAAUGCGUAGAGAUCUGGAGGAAUACCGGUGGCGAAGGCGGCCCCCUGGACAAAGACUGACGCUCAGGUGCGAAAGCGUGGGGAGCAAACAGGAUUAGAUACCCUGGUAGUCCACGCCGUAAACGAUGUCGAUUUGGAGGUUGUGCCCUUGAGGCGUGGCUUCCGGAGCUAACGCGUUAAAUCGACCGCCUGGGGAGUACGGCCGCAAGGUUAAAACUCAAAUGAAUUGACGGGGGCCCGCACAAGCGGUGGAGCAUGUGGUUUAAUUCGAUGCAACGCGAAGAACCUUACCUGGUCUUGACAUCCACAGAACUUAGCAGAGAUGCUUUGGUGCCUUCGGGAACUGUGAGACAGGUGCUGCAUGGCUGUCGUCAGCUCGUGUUGUGAAAUGUUGGGUUAAGUCCCGCAACGAGCGCAACCCUUAUCCUUUGUUGCCAGCGGUUAGGCCGGGAACUCAAAGGAGACUGCCAGUGAUAAACUGGAGGAAGGUGGGGAUGACGUCAAGUCAUCAUGGCCCUUACGACCAGGGCUACACACGUGCUACAAUGGCAUAUACAAAGAGAAGCGACCUCGCGAGAGCAAGCGGACCUCAUAAAGUAUGUCGUAGUCCGGAUUGGAGUCUGCAACUCGACUCCAUGAAGUCGGAAUCGCUAGUAAUCGUAGAUCAGAAUGCUACGGUGAAUACGUUCCCGGGCCUUGUACACACCGCCCGUCACACCAUGGGAGUGGGUUGCAAAAGAAGUAGGUAGCUUAACCUUCGGGAGGGCGCUUACCACUUUGUGAUUCAUGACUGGGGUGAAGUCGUAACAAGGUAACCGUA
RNAcentral lists this ribosomal RNA (1504 nucleotides) under Klebsiella pneumoniae. RNAcentral describes it as "bacterial SSU rRNA". It matches the Rfam family "Bacterial small subunit ribosomal RNA". Lineage: Bacteria; Pseudomonadati; Pseudomonadota; Gammaproteobacteria; Enterobacterales; Enterobacteriaceae. The record is from RNAcentral.